CACAGCCCUGGCGCCUGUUCUGGAGAGGAAGUGCUCUGAGCAGAGGGAGGCCAGAGGACCUGCCUCCUCCUCCUCGUUCCUGGAGAUGAGAAAGGAGGAUUCAGGUGUUGACUGCUUUGCUCUAUUCUCCACUAACAAAGACAAGACCACGUGACUGCAUCUCCAGUCCAGUUCCGGGCUUCUGGUUCAUUAACGCCACGACACUAGGAAAUACAACCUGAAAAAGGUGCCCUACAGGAGUGGUGUCAGGACAAGAGAACGUAUGGCAUGGCCUUUCCGGGUCACAGGAACCCCCACCCUCUAUCCACAGGCAGGAUUGGUAUUGGACAAGCCAGGACGUCUCUGGACUUGGAGACGAGAAGACCCAGCGACACGGGGCACUGCAGAGGGAAGCCACCCGGGCUGAGGCCCAGAACCCUCAAGCCUGGAGGCAGCAGGUGCCAGACAGGGCUUCUGCUCGGCCCCAAGCCUCGGAGCACCUUCAUGCAGCACAGGCUGCACCGGGUUUCAAGGCUGCGUCUCUGCUCCUCUUCCCGUGAGAACAAGCUUCUAGAGGAUACAGGUUUUACCCUGUUUUUCGAUCCUCCGAGCUCCGCACAGGGCCCUCCAGAGUAGCUGUCCCACCCUAACCACCCCCGCUAAAAUAUGAACGUCGAUAAACGAACACGUGAACAAUGAUCGGAAGUCUUCACACCUGGUGCUGAAGCGACGGAGAAGCACUGGGGCCGUUUACCUUGGAGAAGCACAACCCAGGGAAGGAAUGCAAAUUUCACCUUCGUACACUUGAGCCUUGCCUGGUUAAAGCUCCCAAGGGCCGGAGACACGACCAGGGCCGGCAGGGCACGGAGGGACACCAGAAAAAUGCAGAAACAGGCAGCACGCCCCCCCGGGCCCCUGCUGUAGGCAUGAGGGCCCCGGCCCUGGAGGCGUCCCAGGAGAAGCUGGAGGAGUUUCUAACGAGCGAGUGAAGACUUCCCUUCUGCUUGACGGAUGAGUUCUGGCUUAAAAUAACCCUCCGAGGUGGGUUAAGUGGGUGGGAUGUAGAUGGAGCAGGAAGUUACAAGAGGCACAGGCUGUGGGAAGAGCUGUGGUAUGAUCAGUUGUCUCUCUUCUCGGUGACACCCUGCUCCCUAUUUACCACCCCAGCUAAAAGCCACAGGGAUCCAGGGAGCUGGGAGCAAAUGUGAGAGCCUCAGAGUGUGUAACCAAUCCGCCCAGCACACAACCAACCAACAAAAUUUAUCAAGGCACCAGAAGUCUUCCCGGCCAUGGCCCUUAGAUCUGGAUGGUCCCCGCCCGACCCGGACCGCUUUCUCGGAGGGGGGCUCCUGCUUAGCAGUUCUCACCUUCGGCUUGGCACAGGGUCAGAGCCAACUGGAGCACGGGCCCCUGUUAACACCCAAGUCAAUCUCUGGCUGACCUCCUGACUGGACCCUUUUAACCAAGUGAAAUCCAAACACUGCACUGACCGUGCGACAGCUGGCGGUGUGGGACAGACAAAAGAACUACACCACACGCUUCAACACACACCUCGCACUUGCUGGCAAGCGUUAGGCGACACAGGACCUGCCUGGUCCAAGCUGAACGGCCCAGCGUGGGCACUGGCCGUACAGGC
This 1615-nucleotide long non-coding RNA is filed under the name Sus scrofa (pig). Its description in RNAcentral is "lncRNA (ENSSSCG00025072359.1)". Lineage: Eukaryota; Metazoa; Chordata; Mammalia; Artiodactyla; Suidae. The record is from RNAcentral.